This 873-nucleotide ribosomal RNA is filed under the name Triticum aestivum (bread wheat). Its description in RNAcentral is "partial small subunit ribosomal RNA". The record is from RNAcentral. Lineage: Eukaryota; Viridiplantae; Streptophyta; Magnoliopsida; Poales; Poaceae.
AUGAGCGACCUCGGGCUGCUGAGCUACUACCUCGGCAUCGAGGUGCACCAGGGGGGUGACGCGAUCACCCUCAAGCAAGCAAGCUAUGCGUCCAAGAUCGUGGACAAGGCCGGACUGGCGGACUGCACUCCAGUUCAGAUCCCAAUGGAGCCACGGAUGAAACUGAGCAAGGAGAGCUCGAAUCCACCAGUGGACAGGAAACUCUACCGCAGCAUUGUGGGUAGCCUUCGCUAUCUGGUGCACUCGCGGCCGGACAUCUCCUAUGCAGUCGGUUUCAUCAGCAGGUUCAUGGAAGCGCCCACGACAGAACACUGGGCGACGGUGAAACAGGUGCUGAGGUACGUUGCAGGCACCCUGAAUUUUGGGUGCAGAUACAAGAAAGGAGAAGUGGAACCUCAGCUGGUUGGGUACAGUGACGCAGACUUUGCCAGAGAUGUUGAUGACAGAAAAAGCACAUCCGGGACUAUGUUCACUUUUGGGGGAAGCGCGAUCAGUUGGCAAUCCCAGAAGCAGAAGGUGGUCGCUCUUUCAUCCUGCAAGGCCGAGUACAUGGCGGCAACUGCAGCCGCGUGCACUCGCGUCUGGCUCCGGCGAAUGCUUGGCGAUCUACUAGGUGAUCCGGGAACGGCAACUCCACUUCUCAUUGACAACAAGUCGGCAAUCCAACUCUGCAAGAACCCUGUCUUCCACGACAGGACCAAGCACAUCGAGACGCGGUUUCAUUUCAUCCGCGAGUGCAUUCAAGAUGGGAGGAUCGUCGUCGACCAUAUCCACACCGGCGAGCAGUUGGCGGACAUCAUGACCAAGGCACUGCCUCGAGUGAAGUUUCAGGAGCUGCGGGCGAAGCUGGGCAUGAUCAACAUCAGCAACUGA